This 1267-nucleotide ribosomal RNA is filed under the name uncultured Sebacina. Its description in RNAcentral is "eukaryotic LSU rRNA". The stretch from base 592 to 1267 matches the Rfam family "Eukaryotic large subunit ribosomal RNA", at positions 1 to 656 of the family's 3401-position model. Lineage: Eukaryota; Fungi; Basidiomycota; Agaricomycetes; Sebacinales; Sebacinaceae. The record is from RNAcentral.
UUCCGUAGGUGAACCUGCGGAAGGAUCAUUAAUGAAACUUCAAAGUCGGCUCGUCUAUCUGUGCUGGUGGAGGCACAUGUGCACGUUGGCGAGUCGCAAAUCCACACACCUGUGCAUCUAUGACUCUGAGUACCGCUUUGCAUGGCCCUCUGGGGCCUGGUACUCGAGUACUUUACACACUCAGAAUGUAAUGGAAUGUCUUUUUGUACAAUGUACAUCUAAAAACAACUUUCAACAACGGAUCUCUUGGCUCUCGCAUCGAUGAAGAACGCAGCGAAAUGCGAUAAGUAAUGUGAAUUGCAGAAUUCAGUGAAUCAUCGAAUCUUUGAACGCACCUUGCACCCUUUGGUAUUCCGAAGGGUACACCCGUUUGAGUGUCAUUGUAAUCUCACUACGACCACUUUAUUGUUGGUUUGUAUGUGGACUUGGAUGUUGCCGUGUAACAAACGGCUCGUCUGAAAUGCCUGAGUGUACCCUGCUUUUGCGGCGUAUUCGGUGUGAUAAAUCUUCACCGGAGUUGACUUUCGGGUCGCGCUUGUAUUGUCGGGCUCUAUGCUUCCAACCGUCCAAACAAGACAAUCUUUGACAAUUUGACCUCAAAUCGGGUGGGACUACCCGCUGAACUUAAGCAUAUCAAUAAGCGGAGGAAAAGAAACUAGCAAGGAUUCCCCUAGUAACGGCGAGUGAAGAGGGAAAAGCUCAAAUUUUGAAUCUGGUGUCUUUGACUCCCGAGUUGUAAUCUAGAGAAGUGUUUUCCGCGUUGGACCGUGUACAAGUUCCCUGGAACGGGGCGUCAUAGAGGGUGAGAAUCCCGUAUAUGCCACGGACUGCCAAUGCUCUGUGAUACACUCUCAACGAGUCGAGUUGUUUGGGAAUGCAGCUCAAAAUGGGUGGUAAAUUCCAUCUAAAGCUAAAUAUUGGCGAGAGACCGAUAGCGAACAAGUACCGUGAGGGAAAGAUGAAAAGCACUUUGGAAAGAGAGUGAAACAGUACGUGAAAUUGUUGAAAGGGAAGCGUUUGAAGUCAGUCACGUCUGUCGGAAUUCAGCCUGGCUUCUGCCUGGUGUACUUUCCGUCCGACGGGUCAGCAUCAAUUUCGACCGAGGGAAAAAGACGUGAGGAAUGUGGCUGUCUUCGGGCAGUGUUAUAGACUCGCGUUGUAUGUCUCGGUUGGGAUUGAGGAACGCAGCGCGCCUAUUGGCCGGGGGUUCGCGCCCCUCGGUACGCGCUUAGGAUGCUGGCAUAAUGGCUUUAAGCGACCCGUCUUG